GAUGAACGCUGGCGGCGUGCCUAAUACAUGCAAGUCGAGCGAACAGAUAAGGAGCUUGCUCCUUUGACGUUAGCGGCGGACGGGUGAGUAACACGUGGGUAACCUACCUAUAAGACUGGAAUAACUCCGGGAAACCGGGGCUAAUGCCGGAUAACAUUUAGAACCGCAUGGUUCUAAAGUGAAAGAUGGUUUUGCUAUCACUUAUAGAUGGACCCGCGCCGUAUUAGCUAGUUGGUAAGGUAACGGCUUACCAAGGCAACGAUACGUAGCCGACCUGAGAGGGUGAUCGGCCACACUGGAACUGAGACACGGUCCAGACUCCUACGGGAGGCAGCAGUAGGGAAUCUUCCGCAAUGGGCGAAAGCCUGACGGAGCAACGCCGCGUGAGUGAUGAAGGUCUUCGGAUCGUAAAACUCUGUUAUUAGGGAAGAACAAAUGUGCAAGUAACUGUGCACGUCUUGACGGUACCUAAUCAGAAAGCCACGGCUAACUACGUG
RNAcentral lists this ribosomal RNA (497 nucleotides) under uncultured bacterium. Its description in RNAcentral is "partial 16S ribosomal RNA". It matches the Rfam family "Bacterial small subunit ribosomal RNA", at positions 28 to 507 of the family's 1533-position model. The record is from RNAcentral.